This 1374-nucleotide long non-coding RNA is filed under the name Homo sapiens (human). Its description in RNAcentral is "HSALNT0147782". Lineage: Eukaryota; Metazoa; Chordata; Mammalia; Primates; Hominidae. The record is from RNAcentral.
CCGCUAUCACACCAGUCGACCCAAGAAAAAGUGAAUGAAAACUUUGAUCAUCUCAUCUCCAUUGUGCUAUGUACUCCAUCCCAAAUCUCCUGAUGUGGAAUAUCAUCCUCACAUGUCUUCUUACAUAAUGGGCCAGGGUUAUGCGAUGAAAAGUCAGUAGAAGUAGGACAAGUUGGCUGAAGUUCUGCUUGAAAACUGGUAAUAGAAAAUACAAUUUCUCAACCCGCUUUGGCCUUUUAAUUCUGUUCUACAACCUUGCCAGUUCACUUUCAAAGUCAAGGGAUGCAUCUUGCAAAACCAUGACAUCUUUUGAGUAACUCCUUCUGUUCUUAACACAUAUUCCCAGGAGCUUAAUAAAUAUUGUUUUUGCAACUUGUUUAGUGGCAAAAUAAUGAGUCCUUGGUGUAUGCUUAUCCUCUGCUUUGCUAUUAGAGAAGAUAUAUUCAGACUGUUUUAAACAAAUUAAUUCAAGGGCAGGGAACAGUCCUAAAACCUGUUAAAAUUCAAAUACUUGGUCACUGUAUGUGCAGCAUGUGUGUUCUAGAAAGUCCUAUUAUUUUAAAAUAUAAAUUGAAUCUUGUUGAGAAAUUAAUGUCAUAUGAAUAUAUUAAUAACUGAAAUGCUGCCAAGUUUACAAAAAGCCCUCAAUGAAACUGUGACCUUGUAUAGACAAGGGCCUGUGGAGGGACAUUUUUAAACCAUCUCUUUUUUUAUUUCCUCAUGAGAUCUACAAUGUAAGUGCAUUAAAGUUGAUGAAUGAAUUGCAGUGCAACUUUUCCUGCCUCUUUUGCCUUUCAUUUGUCUAUAUUUCAAGCUUCACUGAAGUGAUAGAUUUUGGGCUUUGCCACAUUGUCCUCUGAUUGCUUCCCUCUGCUCCUCCUUUUCCUAGUGAAUCUUUGUUUUACUGGUGGAAAAAUCUACAUCUUUGUAUCUUGGCAUUUUACUUUCACAUUAUCUCAUAGAUUUUAUUUCAAGUUGCUAUAAAGUUAUCAACUUUUAUUUUUAACUAAUAUUAUUUUUAACAAUUAGAAAAUUGUUGACCAGGUAAUUCCAGCACUUUGGGAAGCUGAAGCGGGAGGAUCACGUGAGCCCAGGAGCUCGAGACCAGCCUGGGCAAUGCAAGGAGACUGUCUCUACAAAAUAUAAAAAUACAUUAGCCAGGUUUGGCGGUGCAUGCCUGGGGUCCAGCUAUUCAGGAAGCUGAGGUGGGAGGAUCACUUGAGCUGGAGAGGUUGAGGCUGCAGUGAGCAGUGAUCGCACCACUGCACUCCAGUCUGGGUGACAGAGGGAGACCCUAUCUCGAAAAAAAGGAAAAGAAGAGGAUUUUGCUGGCAAGAUGGCUGAAUAGGAAUAGCUCCGUUCUGCAGCUCCCAG